Molecule: unclassified non-coding RNA, 203 nt
Filed under: uncultured fungus
Lineage: Eukaryota; Fungi
Description: partial contains 18S rRNA, ITS1, 5.8S rRNA, ITS2 and 28S rRNA
Source: RNAcentral
AAGGAUCAUUAAAGAUUCUCCAAGGAUGUGCUGACAUUGCUUGCAAUGUAUGUGCACUCUGCUUUUAUAACCCCUGUGCACAUUAUGUAGGCAGGAUCAGAAUCACCUUCUGAUCCUUGUCUAUGUUUUUUAACACCUUUUAUAAAAAAAACUUGUUUUUUAUAUAAACGAAACAACUUUCAACAAUGGAUCUCUUGGUUCUC